GUUUAUAUAAUGCACACUACACAAACACACUGCAUUAUAUACACACACUAUACAAACACACACACUCUGCAUUAUAUAAACACACUACAUUCACUUUACACACACUACACAAAUACACACACACUCUGCAUUCAUUAUAUACACACACACUUUGCAUUUAGUAUAUACAGCAUUCACUUUACGCACACUACCCACACACUACACAAACACUCUGCUUUCAUUAUAUACACACUACACUAAUACACACUGCAUCCACUACACACACUAGACGAAUACACACUGCAUCCACUACACAAACACACAUUGCAUCCUCUACACACACUACACAAACACACACUGCAU
Molecule: non-coding RNA, 342 nt
Organism: Pelobates cultripes (western spadefoot toad)
Lineage: Eukaryota; Metazoa; Chordata; Amphibia; Anura; Pelobatidae
Source: the annotation of a GenBank genome assembly